RNAcentral lists this long non-coding RNA (726 nucleotides) under Olea europaea subsp. europaea. Lineage: Eukaryota; Viridiplantae; Streptophyta; Magnoliopsida; Lamiales; Oleaceae. The record is from RNAcentral.
CGAUAUUCACAUGGAGGCCAAUGGUAAGACCGCCUACAUAACAAGCCAAAUUUUCCAUCAAAUGAACUCAUAAAAACAUGCCUUACUUUCUCCAAAUUUGUGCAUGUGUGUGGAGAUAAAGAUAGGCACCUAUCACAGCUCCAGUAACCCUUCGUGUUGAAGAAGGCCUCUUCUCGAUUUACACAAGAUAGAUGAUAUGCUCUGGGGCAACACCCUGGAAAUCAAUGCAAGGUAUAACUAUUGACAAGCAUUACAAACACAUAUAGCGAAGAACAUAUAAUUUAGAAUACUGGUUUUAUUCCUUUUUCAACUUAGAAUUCUGAAGGUUGAGCACAUUUUUUAGAACUUAUUGGCGAUCACACAGCACAAGGUGCCCCAGCAUCGAAACAAAUUUAGUCUCCUACCUUCUUUCUAACUGACGCUUUUGAUGUGGCCUUACAACUCAAAAGAAUUUUUGAAUUCCUCGCCCUAAUCCAACUCCUAUCUUUGUAGCUUUAUCAGGAUGGUAUGUAAACAUUGUACCCACCAUGUAUGGUUGAUCAUCUCCAGAUAUAGGAUUACCAUCAUUGUACCUUCAAAAAAAUAUUUCUUGGUUACAUUUCAGAUUUGUAUUUACCGGUUUGUUUUAAUAAGAAAUUAAAAUUCUAAAAGCUUAGUAAACAACAGAAAAAUAUAAAGAUAAAUAAUAGUUCAGAUGGACACAAAAUAAUAGUAUUACUUUAAAGU